CACGAAGUUAGCCGGGGCUUCUUCUCACGCUACCGUCAUCAUCGUCGCGUGCGAAAGAGCUUUACAACCCGAAGGCCUUCAUCACUCACGCGGCAUUGCUGGAUCAGGCUUGCGCCCAUUGUCCAAUAUUCCCCACUGCUGCCUCCCGUAGGAGUCUGGGCCGUGUCUCAGUCCCAGUGUGGCUGAUCAUCCUCUCAGACCAGCUAAGGAUCGUUGCCUUGGUAGGCCGUUACCCCACCAACAAGCUAAUCCUACGCGGGCCCAUCCCAUGGCGAUAAAUCUUUGUCCCUCAAGACACAUACGGUAUUAGCUCCAGUUUCCCGGAGUUAUUCCGUACCACAGGGCAGGUUCCCACGCGUUACUCACCCGUGCGCCACUAGGGCCGAAGCCCUCGUUCGACUUGCAUGUGUUAGGCAUGCCGCCAGCGUUCGUUCUGAGCCAGGAUCAAACUCU
Molecule: ribosomal RNA, 453 nt
Filed under: uncultured Skermanella sp.
Lineage: Bacteria; Pseudomonadati; Pseudomonadota; Alphaproteobacteria; Rhodospirillales; Azospirillaceae
Description: partial 16S ribosomal RNA
Source: RNAcentral